AGACCAUAAGGCUUUGCCUUGCGUUGAUUUAUUGGAGUGAUCCAAUAAUCAAAACUCGUUGGCGUCGUAGUUUGACCAAGACACAGCACAAUGUGAAACUAAGUUGAACUAAAGAUUAGCCAGUCCAAACUGUUUCUCACGAAACGUAG
This 149-nucleotide unclassified non-coding RNA is filed under the name uncultured Ascomycota. RNAcentral's name for it is "sequence contains ITS2". Lineage: Eukaryota; Fungi; Ascomycota. The record is from RNAcentral.